This 75-nucleotide small RNA is filed under the name Litoreibacter meonggei. Its description in RNAcentral is "suhB". Lineage: Bacteria; Pseudomonadati; Pseudomonadota; Alphaproteobacteria; Rhodobacterales; Roseobacteraceae. The record is from RNAcentral.
AGCUUGAGCGCUUAGGCGUUUUGCUAAAAAUUUUAGAGGCCGCUCCUUCGGGGGCGGCCUUUUUCGUUGGGGGGC